Molecule: ribosomal RNA, 468 nt
Filed under: uncultured bacterium
Lineage: Bacteria
Description: partial 16S ribosomal RNA
Rfam family: Bacterial small subunit ribosomal RNA
Source: RNAcentral
GACGAAGGCUGGCGGCGUGCUUAACACAUGCAAGUCGAACGGAAAGGCCCUGCUUUUGUGGGGUGCUCGAGUGGCGAACGGGUGAGUAACACGUGAGUAACCUGCCCUUGACUUUGGGAUAACUUCAGGAAACUGGGGCUAAUACCGGAUAGGAGCCCCUGCUGCAUGGUGGGGGUUGGAAAGUUUCGGCGGUUGGGGAUGGACUCGCGGCUUAUCAGCUUGUUGGUGGGGUAGUGGCUUACCAAGGCUUUGACGGGUAGCCGGCCUGAGAGGGUGACCGGCCACAUUGGGACUGAGAUACGGCCCAGACUCCUACGGGAGGCAGCAGUGGGGAAUAUUGCACAAUGGGCGGAAGCCUGAUGCAGCAACGCCGCGUGCGGGAUGACGGCCUUCGGGUUGUAAACCGCUUUCGCCUGUGACGAAGCGUGAGUGACGGUAAUGGGUAAAGAAGCACCGGCUAACUACGUG